RNAcentral lists this ribosomal RNA (448 nucleotides) under uncultured bacterium. RNAcentral describes it as "bacterial SSU rRNA". It matches the Rfam family "Bacterial small subunit ribosomal RNA", at positions 331 to 792 of the family's 1533-position model. The record is from RNAcentral.
CCAGACUCCUACGGGAGGCAGCAGUGGGGAAUAUUGGGCAAUGGAGGCAACUCUUACCCAGCAAUGCCGCGUGAAUGAAGAAGGUCUUCGGAUUGUAAAGUUCUUUAAUUGGGGACGAAAAAAAUGACGGUACCCAGGGAAUAAGCCCCGACUAACUACGUGCCAGCAGUCGCGGUAAUACGUAGGGGGCAAGCGUUGUUCGGAAUGACUGGGCGUAAAGGGUGUGUAGGCGGUGUAGCAAGUUAGAAGUGAAAUACCUAGAGCUUAACUCAGGUGCUGCUUCUAAAACUGCCAUACUUGAGUGCAGUAGAGGAAAGUGGAAUUCCUAGUGUAGCGGUGGAAUGCGUAGAUAUUAGGAGGAACACCAGUGGCGAAGGCGGUCUGCUGGACAGCAACUGACGCUGAGGCGCGAAAGCGUGGGGAGCAAACAGGAUUAGAUACCCCGGUA